CCCUUAGAUGUUCUGGGCUGCACGCGCGCUACACUGAAGCGUUCAACGAGUAUUUCACCUUGCCCGGGAGGGUUGGGUAAUCUUUUUAAAACGCUUCGUGAUGGGGAUAGAUUAUUGCAAUUAUUAAUCUUCAACGAGGAAUUCCUAGUAAGCGCGAGUCAUCAGCUUGCGCUGACUUACGUCCCUGCCCCUUGUACACACCGCCCGUCGCUGCCCGGAACUGAGCCGUUUCGAGAAAGCCGGGGACUGACGGCUUGUGGGUGCGCAAGCGCUUCUUGCCGAUGGAAACCAGUUUAAUCGGUAUGGCUUGAACCGGGCAAAAGUCGUAACA
RNAcentral lists this ribosomal RNA (331 nucleotides) under uncultured eukaryote. RNAcentral's name for it is "partial 18S ribosomal RNA". It matches the Rfam family "Eukaryotic small subunit ribosomal RNA", at positions 1470 to 1796 of the family's 1831-position model. The record is from RNAcentral.